Molecule: long non-coding RNA, 568 nt
Organism: Paramacrobiotus metropolitanus
Lineage: Eukaryota; Metazoa; Tardigrada; Eutardigrada; Parachela; Macrobiotidae
Exons: 2
Source: RefSeq, a predicted model, not a curated record
GUAACCAUAAAGCGGUUUUGAUUGUAGGUCUUCUUACGGUUCUAUCAGGUUAAAAAUGAACUGUUAGCGUGCUGCUGUUAAACGCUUGCCCAUCCUCGAUCUGAAUAUCUCGAGUGAGCCAACUUCUCUAAAACCAGAAACCUCCUUCGCGCCAAACAAAAUGCCAGACCGACCAACGUACGAAAACGGCAGGAUAUACUACAACUGCCCAUAUUGCGGAAGACGGGUAUGGGUAUAUGAAGCAUUCGGGGCGUUUGUCGGGUCUAAGUGUUUUAACUGCAGGGAUUGUCUUGUCAUGUAAAAUUACGGAUUCAAAAGGUUUUUAUACAAUUACAACGAUAUGCUUUAAAACAUUUGAUGCUCUUUAAGUACACCGUUUUUGAUUUGCGUAAUCACGUCUUACGGAUUAUGAAUGCAACAAUUUUUCGGCAAUGCUUGUAAUGUUUUCACUUUGUUGAUACAUGAUAUCUUUUGAAUACAAUGUGUUGUCAAUUGCGCAAUGUUGUUUAUUGGCAAAAGCAUUUAUUUAAUAUGUAGUGGCACUGUGGCAGUAAAAUCAUUUUUCUGA